GGUUAAGCGACUAAGCGUACACGGUGGAUGCCCUGGCAGUCAGAGGCGAUGAAGGACGUGCUAAUCUGCGAUAAGCGUCGGUAAGGUGAUAUGAACCGUUAUAACCGGCGAUUUCCGAAUGGGGAAACCCAGUGUGAUUCGUCACACUAUCAUUAACUGAAUCCAUAGGUUAAUGAGGCGAACCGGGGGAACUGAAACAUCUAAGUACCCCGAGGAAAAGAAAUCAACCGAGAUUCCCCCAGUAGCGGCGAGCGAACGGGGAGCAGCCCAGAGCCUGAAUCAGUGUGUGUGUUAGUGGAAGCGUCUGGAAAGGCGCGCGAUACAGGGUGACAGCCCCGUACACAAAAAUUCACAUGCUGUGAGCUCGAUGAGUAGGGCGGGACACGUGGUAUCCUGUCUGAAUAUGGGGGGACCAUCCUCCAAGGCUAAAUACUCCUGACUGACCGAUAGUGAACCAGUACCGUGAG
RNAcentral lists this ribosomal RNA (467 nucleotides) under Escherichia coli. RNAcentral describes it as "partial 23S ribosomal RNA". It matches the Rfam family "Bacterial large subunit ribosomal RNA", at positions 1 to 507 of the family's 2925-position model. The record is from RNAcentral. Lineage: Bacteria; Pseudomonadati; Pseudomonadota; Gammaproteobacteria; Enterobacterales; Enterobacteriaceae.